GUUAAGCGACUAAGCGUACACGGUGGAUGCCCUGGCAGUCAGAGGCGAUGAAGGACGUGCUAAUCUGCGAUAAGCGUCGGUGAGGUGAUAUGAACCGUUAUAACCGGCGAUUUCCGAAUGGGGAAACCCAGUGUGUUUCGACACACUAUCAUUAACUGAAUCCAUAGGUUAAUGAGGCGAACCGGGGGAACUGAAACAUCUAAGUACCCCGAGGAAAAGAAAUCAACCGAGAUUCCCCCAGUAGCGGCGAGCGAACGGGGAGGAGCCCAGAGCCUGAAUCAGUGUGUGUGUUAGUGGAAGCGUCUGGAAAGGCGUGCGAUACAGGGUGACAGCCCCGUACACAAAAAUGCACAUAUUGUGAGCUCGAUGAGUAGGGCGGGACACGUGGUAUCCUGUCUGAAUAUGGGGGGACCAUCCUCCAAGGCUAAAUACUCCUGACUGACCGAUAGUGAACCAGUACCGUGAGGGAAAGGCGAAAAGAACCCCGGCGAGGGGAGUGAAAAAGAACCUGAAACCGUGUACGUACAAGCAGUGGGAGCCUCUUUAUGGGGUGACUGCGUACCUUUUGUAUAAUGGGUCAGCGACUUAUAUUCUGUAGCAAGGUUAACCGAAUAGGGGAGCCGAAGGGAAACCGAGUCUUAACUGGGCGUUAAGUUGCAGGGUAUAGACCCGAAACCCGGUGAUCUAGCCAUGGGCAGGUUGAAGGUUGGGUAACACUAACUGGAGGACCGAACCGACUAAUGUUGAAAAAUUAGCGGAUGACUUGUGGCUGGGGGUGAAAGGCCAAUCAAACCGGGAGAUAGCUGGUUCUCCCCGAAAGCUAUUUAGGUAGCGCCUCGUGAAUUCAUCUCCGGGGGUAGAGCACUGUUUCGGCAAGGGGGUCAUCCCGACUUACCAACCCGAUGCAAACUGCGAAUACCGGAGAAUGUUAUCACGGGAGACACACGGCGGGUGCUAACGUCCGUCGUGAAGAGGGAAACAACCCAGACCGCCAGCUAAGGUCCCAAAGUCAUGGUUAAGUGGGAAACGAUGUGGGAAGGCCCAGACAGCCAGGAUGUUGGCUUAGAAGCAGCCAUCAUUUAAAGAAAGCGUAAUAGCUCACUGGUCGAGUCGGCCUGCGCGGAAGAUGUAACGGGGCUAAACCAUGCACCGAAGCUGCGGCAGCGACACUAUGUGUUGUUGGGUAGGGGAGCGUUCUGUAAGCCUGUGAAGGUGGCCUGUGAGGGUUGCUGGAGGUAUCAGAAGUGCGAAUGCUGACAUAAGUAACGAUAAAGCGGGUGAAAAGCCCGCUCGCCGGAAGACCAAGGGUUCCUGUCCAACGUUAAUCGGGGCAGGGUGAGUCGACCCCUAAGGCGAGGCCGAAAGGCGUAGUCGAUGGGAAACAGGUUAAUAUUCCUGUACUUGGUGUUACUGCGAAGGGGGGACGGAGAAGGCUAUGUUGGCCGGGCGACGGUUGUCCCGGUUUAAGCGUGUAGGCUGGUUUUCCAGGCAAAUCCGGAAAACCAAGGCUGAGGCGUGAUGACGAGGCACUACGGUGCUGAAGCGACAAAUGCCCUGCUUCCAGGAAAAGCCUCUAAGCAUCAGGUAACAUCAAAUCGUACCCCAAACCGACACAGGUGGUCAGGUAGAGAAUACCAAGGCGCUUGAGAGAACUCGGGUGAAGGAACUAGGCAAAAUGGUGCCGUAACUUCGGGAGAAGGCACGCUGAUAUGUAGGUGAAGCGACUUGCUCGUGGAGCUGAAAUCAGUCGAAGAUACCAGCUGGCUGCAACUGUUUAUUAAAAACACAGCACUGUGCAAACACGAAAGUGGACGUAUACGGUGUGACGCCUGCCCGGUGCCGGAAGGUUAAUUGAUGGGGUUAGCGGCAACGCGAAGCUCUUGAUCGAAGCCCCGGUAAACGGCGGCCGUAACUAUAACGGUCCUAAGGUAGCGAAAUUCCUUGUCGGGUAAGUUCCGACCUGCACGAAUGGCGUAAUGAUGGCCAGGCUGUCUCCACCCGAGACUCAGUGAAAUUGAACUCGCUGUGAAGAUGCAGUGUACCCGCGGCAAGACGGAAAGACCCCGUGAACCUUUACUAUAGCUUGACACUGAACAUUGAGCCUUGAUGUGUAGGAUAGGUGGGAGGCUUUGAAGUGUGGACGCCAGUCUGCAUGGAGCCGACCUUGAAAUACCACCCUUUAAUGUUUGAUGUUCUAACGUGGGCCCCUAAUCGGGGUUGCGGACAGUGUCUGGUGGGUAGUUUGACUGGGGCGGUCUCCUCCUAAAGAGUAACGGAGGAGCACGAAGGUUGGCUAAUCCUGGUCGGACAUCAGGAGGUUAGUGCAAUGGCAUAAGCCAGCUUGACUGCGAGCGUGACGGCGCGAGCAGGUGCGAAAGCAGGUCAUAGUGAUCCGGUGGUUCUGAAUGGAAGGGCCAUCGCUCAACGGAUAAAAGGUACUCCGGGGAUAACAGGCUGAUACCGCCCAAGAGUUCAUAUCGACGGCGGUGUUUGGCACCUCGAUGUCGGCUCAUCACAUCCUGGGGCUGAAGUAGGUCCCAAGGGUAUGGCUGUUCGCCAUUUAAAGUGGUACGCGAGCUGGGUUUAGAACGUCGUGAGACAGUUCGGUCCCUAUCUGCCGUGGGCGCUGGAGAACUGAGGGGGGCUGCUCCUAGUACGAGAGGACCGGAGUGGACGCAUCACUGGUGUUCGGGUUGUCAUGCCAAUGGCACUGCCCGGUAGCUAAAUGCGGAAGAGAUAAGUGCUGAAAGCAUCUAAGCACGAAACUUGCCCCGAGAUGAGUUCUCCCUGACUCCUUGAGGGUCCUGAAGGAACGUUGAAGACGACGACGUUGAUAGGCCGGGUGUGUAAGCGCAGCGAUGCGUUGAGCUAACCGGUACUAAUGAACCGUGAGGCUUAACCUUACAACGCCGAAG
This 2915-nucleotide ribosomal RNA is filed under the name Escherichia coli. RNAcentral describes it as "partial 23S ribosomal RNA". It matches the Rfam family "Bacterial large subunit ribosomal RNA". Lineage: Bacteria; Pseudomonadati; Pseudomonadota; Gammaproteobacteria; Enterobacterales; Enterobacteriaceae. The record is from RNAcentral.